GAUGAACGCUGGCGGCGUGCCUAAUACAUGCAAGUCGAGCGAACAGACGAGGAGCUUGCUCCUCUGACGUUAGCGGCGGACGGGUGAGUAACACGUGGAUAACCUACUUAUAAGACUGGGAUAACUUCGGGAAACCGGAGCUAAUACCGGAUAAUAUAUUGAACCGCAUGGUUCAAUAGUGAAAGACGGUUUUGCUGUCACUUAUAGAUGGAUCCGCGCCGCAUUAGCUAGUUGGUAAGGUAACGGCUUACCAAGGCAACGAUGCGUAGCCGACCUGAGAGGGUGAUCGGCGACACUGGAACUGAGACACGGUCCAGACUCCUACGGGAGGCAGCAGUAGGGAAUCUUCCGCAAUGGGCGAAAGCCUGACGGAGCAACGCCGCGUGAGUGAUGAAGGUCUUCGGAUCGUAAAACUCUGUUAUUAGGGAAGAACAAAUGUGUAAGUAACUAUGCACGUCUUGACGGUACCUAAUCAGAAAGCCACGGCUAACUACGUG
RNAcentral lists this ribosomal RNA (497 nucleotides) under uncultured bacterium. Its description in RNAcentral is "partial 16S ribosomal RNA". It matches the Rfam family "Bacterial small subunit ribosomal RNA", at positions 28 to 507 of the family's 1533-position model. The record is from RNAcentral.